This 1273-nucleotide long non-coding RNA is filed under the name Equus caballus (horse). RNAcentral describes it as "lncRNA (ENSECAG00000045236.1)". Lineage: Eukaryota; Metazoa; Chordata; Mammalia; Perissodactyla; Equidae. The record is from RNAcentral.
CAGGAUCUCUACCCACGAACCCAGGCCACCAAAGGGGAACACGUGGAAUCUAACCACUAUGCCUUGGGACUGGGCCUUGCCUUGCUUAUUUUUUGGACUUGAAUGCUCAGGAAAGUUUCCAAACUCUAAGUGUACCUACUCAGUGCAGUGUGCACCAACUGGAAAGACAAGAAAGAGGAUUGAUCCAUCAAUGUCCUCUUUCCAAAUGCCUAAAUUAAAUAAAUGAAUUUUCUCAAAGGUCUUUGUUGCUUUUAGAGAUUGUGAUCUCCCAGUAUACACACUGCUAAUAUGUGUCCUGCUGGGAAUGCUCUACCAGGCUUGUUGCUAAAUGUGUUCAAAUCCCUGCUGUGUCCCUUCUACUCAAGCAUUGUUUCAUUUUGUCUGUUUAUAAAGGAGGCUGCACCAUGACCCUAAAUUAGGAGAUUCCUUGGAUUGCCUUGACCCCAGGAGUAAUUUUCCCUGUGAUGUGAUGACUUGCUGAGUCCUAGGGAGGGAACUGAAGUUUGCAGCUGACCCUGGAGGAACCUUUGCCCCUUCCAAUACUCCGCAGGCUGUUGUGCUAUCAGUGUCACCCUUGCUGGGGACACUGCUAUUGGCCAUGUCUCUGUGGAAUGACUGUGUUCUCAGCAUCCACUUCAAUCUUCCCUCCAUCUGAAUCAGAAUGUUCUAGAGAAACACUUGACUCAAUGCUGCCCAUUGUAUUGUUCCAUCUCCAGAGGACCUGCCGCUGUUCCAGUGAAAGCUUUAAUCUCCGUUCUCCUUCCAAGUUCUCAAGCUGCUGCCGACUUGACUUUCAACUCCACAUUUCCUGUGCUUUGGGUUUUUUGAGUAAAUGAGAGAGACCUGAGCCUGGUGCUGCCUCCUCCUGGUGGAAUGAGAAUGUGGAUGCAGCUCAAGAGAGGCCCAGAUGAGCUCCUGGAUUCUUUGCCAGUUCGUCAGCUACAGCAGCUGUUACAUCAUUGCAACAUUUCCACAAAUAUUCACAGGGAGAAAAAAGGUCAUCUCAUAUGAGACUUGCUGCAAAACCUAAAACUUUCAGUCAUCUUUUGCUUUCAGUUUGUGGCUUUGUACUUUUAAGGGGAAACUGACUGGCAGAAACCAUAACGGAAAAGAAACAGCUCUAUGAAUGGGCAGAACAGCUUAAUGACGAGUAAUGAGGGGGAGCACACUGGGGUUUUCUACACUGGAAGGAACGAAAGGACUGUGAUACGGGAGUGAAAGAACGAGAUCCACGAAAGCAGAGAGGAAGGGGGAACUGUGCCAGGUAUCAGAA